UUUAUGGAGAGUUUGAUCCUGGCUCAGGAUGAACGCUGGCGGCGUGCCUAAUACAUGCAAGUCGAGCGAACGGACGAGAAGCUUGCUUCUCUGAUGUUAGCGGCGGACGGGUGAGUAACACGUGGAUAACCUACCUAUAAGACUGGGAUAACUUCGGGAAACCGGAGCUAAUACCGGAUAAUAUUUUGAACCGCAUGGUUCAAAAGUGAAAGACGGUCUUGCUGUCACUUAUAGAUGGAUCCGCGCUGCAUUAGCUAGUUGGUAAGGUAACGGCUUACCAAGGCAACGAUGCAUAGCCGACCUGAGAGGGUGAUCGGCCACACUGGAACUGAGACACGGUCCAGACUCCUACGGGAGGCAGCAGUAGGGAAUCUUCCGCAAUGGGCGAAAGCCUGACGGAGCAACGCCGCGUGAGUGAUGAAGGUCUUCGGAUCGUAAAACUCUGUUAUUAGGGAAGAACAUAUGUGUAAGUAACUGUGCACAUCUUGACGGUACCUAAUCAGAAAGCCACGGCUAACUACGUGCCAGCAGCCGCGGUAAUACGUAGGUGGCAAGCGUUAUCCGGAAUUAUUGGGCGUAAAGCGCGCGUAGGCGGUUUUUUAAGUCUGAUGUGAAAGCCCACGGCUCAACCGUGGAGGGUCAUUGGAAACUGGAAAACUUGAGUGCAGAAGAGGAAAGUGGAAUUCCAUGUGUAGCGGUGAAAUGCGCAGAGAUAUGGAGGAACACCAGUGGCGAAGGCGACUUUCUGGUCUGUAACUGACGCUGAUGUGCGAAAGCGUGGGGAUCAAACAGGAUUAGAUACCCUGGUAGUCCACGCCGUAAACGAUGAGUGCUAAGUGUUAGGGGGUUUCCGCCCCUUAGUGCUGCAGCUAACGCAUUAAGCACUCCGCCUGGGGAGUACGACCGCAAGGUUGAAACUCAAAGGAAUUGACGGGGACCCGCACAAGCGGUGGAGCAUGUGGUUUAAUUCGAAGCAACGCGAAGAACCUUACCAAAUCUUGACAUCCUUUGACAACUCUAGAGAUAGAGCCUUCCCCUUCGGGGGACAAAGUGACAGGUGGUGCAUGGUUGUCGUCAGCUCGUGUCGUGAGAUGUUGGGUUAAGUCCCGCAACGAGCGCAACCCUUAAGCUUAGUUGCCAUCAUUAAGUUGGGCACUCUAAGUUGACUGCCGGUGACAAACCGGAGGAAGGUGGGGAUGACGUCAAAUCAUCAUGCCCCUUAUGAUUUGGGCUACACACGUGCUACAAUGGACAAUACAAAGGGCAGCGAAACCGCGAGGUCAAGCAAAUCCCAUAAAGUUGUUCUCAGUUCGGAUUGUAGUCUGCAACUCGACUACAUGAAGCUGGAAUCGCUAGUAAUCGUAGAUCAGCAUGCUACGGUGAAUACGUUCCCGGGUCUUGUACACACCGCCCGUCACACCACGAGAGUUUGUAACACCCGAAGCCGGUGGAGUAACCUUUUAGGAGCUA
RNAcentral lists this ribosomal RNA (1470 nucleotides) under Staphylococcus aureus. RNAcentral's name for it is "bacterial SSU rRNA". It matches the Rfam family "Bacterial small subunit ribosomal RNA". Lineage: Bacteria; Bacillati; Bacillota; Bacilli; Caryophanales; Staphylococcaceae. The record is from RNAcentral.